Molecule: ribosomal RNA, 303 nt
Filed under: uncultured bacterium
Lineage: Bacteria
Description: partial 16S ribosomal RNA
Rfam family: Bacterial small subunit ribosomal RNA
Source: RNAcentral
AGCAGUCGCCGCGGUAAUACGAAGGGGGCUAGCGUUGUUCGGAAUUACUGGGCGUAAAGCGCACGUAGGCGGAUAUUUAAGUCAGGGGUGAAAUCCCGCAGCUCAACUGCGGAACUGCCUUUGAUACUGGGUAUCUUGAGUAUGGAAGAGGUUAGUGGAAUUGCGAGUGUAGAGGUGAAAUUCGUAGAUAUUCGGAAGAACACCAGUGGCGAAGGCGGCUCACUGGCUCAUUCUAGACGCUGAGGUGCGAAAGCGUGGGGAGCAAACAGGAUUAGAGACCCCCGUAGUCCCUGUCUCUUAUAC